GAUGUAGCUCAUAGGUAAAGCAUUGGCUUCAUAGGCCAAAGGUCCUGGGUUUGGUUGCCAGCAUC
This 65-nucleotide transfer RNA is filed under the name Mus musculus (house mouse). It matches the Rfam family "tRNA". Rfam says of the family: Transfer RNA (tRNA) molecules are approximately 80 nucleotides in length. Their secondary structure includes four short double-helical elements and three loops (D, anti-codon, and T loops). Further hydrogen bonds mediate the characteristic L-shaped molecular structure. tRNAs have two regions of fundamental functional importance: the anti-codon, which is responsible for specific mRNA codon recognition, and the 3' end, to which the tRNAs corresponding amino acid is attached (by aminoacyl-tRNA synthetases). tRNAs cope with the degeneracy of the genetic code in two manners: having more than one tRNA (with a specific anti-codon) for a particular amino acid; and 'wobble' base-pairing, i.e. permitting non-standard base-pairing at the 3rd anti-codon position. The record is from Rfam by way of RNAcentral. Lineage: Eukaryota; Metazoa; Chordata; Mammalia; Rodentia; Muridae.